This 408-nucleotide ribosomal RNA is filed under the name uncultured bacterium. Its description in RNAcentral is "bacterial SSU rRNA". It matches the Rfam family "Bacterial small subunit ribosomal RNA", at positions 355 to 775 of the family's 1533-position model. The record is from RNAcentral.
UGGGGAAUCUUGCACAAUGGGCGAAAGCCUGAUGCAGCGACGCCGCGUGGGGGACGACGGCCCUCGGGUUGUAAACCCCUUUCGGCAGGGAAGAAGCGAAAGUGACGGUACCUGCAGAAGAAGUCCCGGCUAACUACGUGCCAGCAGCCGCGGUAAGACGUAGGGGACGAGCGUUGUCCGGAUUCAUUGGGCGUAAAGCGCGCGUAGGCGGUUCGGUAAGUCGGGUGUGAAAACACGAGGCUCAACCUCGUGCGUGCAUCCGAUACUGCCGGACUAGAGGUAGGUAGGGGAGAUCGGAAUUCCUGGUGUAGCGGUGAAAUGCGCAGAUAUCAGGAGGAACACCGGUGGCGAAGGCGGAUCUCUGGGCCUUACCUGACGCUCAGGCGCGAAAGCUAGGGGAGCAAACAG